Molecule: transfer RNA, 70 nt
Filed under: Marmota monax (woodchuck)
Lineage: Eukaryota; Metazoa; Chordata; Mammalia; Rodentia; Sciuridae
Description: tRNA.Ala
Source: RNAcentral
GGGCUGGGGCUCAGCGGUAGAGCGCUCGCCUAGCACAUGCGAAGCCCUGGGUUCGAUACUCAGCACCACA